UACGUAGGUGGCGAGCGUUAUCCGGAAUUACUGGGCGUAAAGGGUGUGUAGGUGGCUGCCAUAGUCGGGCGUGAAAUCCCGGGGCUUAACCUCGGGUUUGCGUUCGAUACUUGGUGGCUGGAGUGCGGGAGAGGGAAGUGGAAUUCCUGGUGUAGCAGUGAAAUGCGUAGAGAUCAGGAGGAACACCGAUGGCGAAGGCAGCCCCCUGGGCCUGUACUGACGCUCAUGCACGAAAGCGUGGGGAGCAAACAGG
This 253-nucleotide ribosomal RNA is filed under the name uncultured microorganism. Its description in RNAcentral is "partial 16S ribosomal RNA". It matches the Rfam family "Bacterial small subunit ribosomal RNA", at positions 524 to 776 of the family's 1533-position model. The record is from RNAcentral.